CCUACGGGUGGCAGCAGUGAGGAAUAUUGGUCAAUGGCCGGGAGGCUGAACCAGCCAAGUCGCGUGAGGGAAGACGGCCCUACGGGUUGUAAACCUCUUUUGUCAGGGAGCAAGGUGCAGGUCGGGUCCUGCUGUGAGAGUACCUGAAGAAAAAGCAUCGGCUAACUCCGUGCCAGCAGCCGCGGUAAUACGUAGGUGGCAAGCGUUAUCCGGAUUUAUUUGGCGUAAAGGGUACGCAGGCGGUCUUUUAAGUCCGAUGUGAAAGCUUUGGGCUUAACCGGAGUAGUGCAUUGGAAACUGGGGGACUUGAGUGCAGAAGAGGAGAGUGGAACGCGAGGUGUAGCGGUGAAAUGCGUAGAUAUAUGGAAGAACACCAGUGGCGAAGGCGGCUCUCUGGUCUGUAACUGACGCUGAGGUUCGAAAGCGUGGGUAGCAAACAGGAUUAGAUACCCCUGUAGUC
Molecule: ribosomal RNA, 460 nt
Filed under: uncultured bacterium
Lineage: Bacteria
Description: partial 16S ribosomal RNA
Rfam family: Bacterial small subunit ribosomal RNA
Source: RNAcentral